This is a non-coding RNA of Coturnix japonica (Japanese quail), 2051 nucleotides long. NCBI's taxonomy places the organism in Eukaryota, Metazoa, Chordata, Aves, Galliformes, Phasianidae. The record is from RefSeq and is a predicted model, not a curated record.
UCUCAGGAGAACAACUCUCUCUUUUGUCUUCCCUUCUCAUUAAUCCCUACUUCUUCAACUCAAGCUCUCAAGUGGAUCAUUAUAAACAGACAAUGGCCAGAUAUGUGCGUGUGGAUAUAAACUAAUGAAUUUAUGAAGGGGAAAAUCAUGCCUGACAAAACUGACAGCUGUAUAUGGUAGAAAAAUGCCUCUAGCAGAAGACAAUUUUGCUGUACUCCUAAAUCAAAACAAAAUGGGAAACACAUUGCUGCUUGUGUCAGUGUCUAACAAAACACGAUAUCUUCAGUUUUAAUGAAGAUUAAGUGUGACAAAGCUACAUGGAGUAAUGGAAGUACCAAAAAGAAAUUGCUUUUUGAAAAUGAAAAGCUUUUUAAAAAGUCACAAUAGAACCGAGAGAGCCGUGAAUGCAUUUUCUACGCUAACAUUUUGGCAUUACUCUAUGGAGCCUUCUGCUAUCAGCAGGGAAAGAAAAAUUGCAGUUGACAUCUACACCUGGCAUUUGUCUCCAUUAAUGCUUAGUGCAGGGAGCAGGGGCUGCAUUUGCUUGGCUUUGUCUCCACCUGUCAGAUACUUUGCUCUCCAGGAGAAAAGAGAUCAGGGAGAAACCAAGCAGAUUUCAGAUUUCCUAGUGUGAAUCAGUUUUCUUAUGAAAGCUGGAGGCAAGGGUGAAAUCUGCAUCCUUAGGGAAGAAAAAAACCCACAACAUUAUGGCCUUGUUUGUCACAUAUUGUUUGGGUCUGCUCUUCUAUAAGCUUGUCUGUCUCUGGCACAAAAUUCUUCUGCCUGGCUUUUUAUUCCAGGAGGUAGGAAACAAUUUUCAAAUUUGGUGGAUCUUUCAAGGAUUAAAGAUAACAUGAAAAUCCUGUGGCAUAGAUGUGCUUUGAAAUGGAGAACAUAUCCCCAUGUCACUGCUGAAGAAAGUAAAACAUGGCUGAAAGCCACAGAGUAAUUCUAUUAGUUUCCAGAAAAGCCGCUCCUUGGAGGAGAUAUAAUGAAGCCAUAAAGCUGAAAGGUGGCCCCUUUUGAGUGUUGUUUCACACUCACAGGAACAGUCCUGUGGACUGCUGGCAGUGAGCCUCUUGUCAACACAGUAAGUUGGAGACUCUACAUUACCUUCCAACCCAGAGCUGCUUGAUCACAAGCUUAGGGACCAUCCAUGGCUUGAUUAGGCUCAGGAGUUUUGUUCUGAAAUCUGGUCUUCUUUCUUUCACUGAAAUAUGUGUAAUUGAAGAACACAGAGUAAGGGUAUUACCCCAGCUAGCUUUUAAACACUUUCAUGUGAGAGGUUAUUCAUAUAAUUGUCUUGGCAUGCUAAGUGUGCAGACUAUAUGUCUAUUUACUGUAGUUCCCAGGAGUACUUCUCAGCUUCUCUCUUUGGAUGCACACUACUGCAGAAACCCACCUCAGCAGUUCUGGGGCAAUCGUCCCCACCAUCAUCUGUCAGAACCCUUGGCCCAAUCUUUCAAAGGGUAUGAUCUGGUCCCCAUCUGUGGCUGAAACGUGGCUGUCCAACAAAAGAUGAUAGUUUACUUUUACAGCAGGGUCAGUUAAAAUAUCUUUGAAAUAAAAGAUAGAAUGCAGUAAAAGAAAUAAUAAGUCUGUCCCAACACUGUUACUAAGUAGGAAGGCAAGAGUUGUUAUAGCAACAGAUGGAGGUAUUUUAUAACAAGUGCAAACACCUGAACCUUGGAAAGCUAAUGUAACUGUGAGAAGGACUAAAUGGUACCUUUCAGGCUUUUGUCUGCCUGCUGUGCUUACAUUUCAAGCUGACCAAAGCUGAGUGCUGUAUUACUAUAGUCACAGUCCCAACUUUGUUGAGGAGCCAAGCAUCUAUCAGCCCAGCCCAGGACUGCUUUAAUCAGGCCACAUGCCUCUUGGAGUUUUUCACGCAACAUUUGGGUUACAUGUUGACCAAGCCUGCAUCUGCCCACAAAGCGUUGUGCAGGCGUACUGUGGCUCAGUUUUCUUUUGGCAAAUAGUUCCCUGAAAUCUUGCUGUCAGUAGCAGAGCUCUAAGGAUCAAACUGAUCUGAAGCAGAGUGGCAGCUGUUA